RNAcentral lists this ribosomal RNA (782 nucleotides) under uncultured Acidobacteriota bacterium. RNAcentral describes it as "bacterial SSU rRNA". It matches the Rfam family "Bacterial small subunit ribosomal RNA", at positions 107 to 922 of the family's 1533-position model. Lineage: Bacteria; Pseudomonadati; Acidobacteriota. The record is from RNAcentral.
UGAGUAACACGUGGAUGAUCUACCCUCUAGUGGGGAAUAACCCUGGGAAACCGGGGCUAAUACCGCAUAAGCACGAGAGUGGAAAGCAGCAAUGCGCUGGAGGAGGAGUCCGCGGCCGAUUAGCUAGUUGGCAGGGUAAAAGCCUACCAAGGCAAAGAUCGGUAGCCGGCCUGAGAGGGCACACGGCCACACUGGCACUGAAACACGGGCCAGACUCCUACGGGAGGCAGCAGUGGGGAAUCUUGCACAAUGGGGGAAACCCUGAUGCAGCGACGCCGCGUGAGCGAUGAAGCCCUUCGGGGUGUAAAGCUCUUUCGGCAGGGAAGAUGAUGACGGUACCUGCAGAAGCAGCUGCGGCUAACUACGUGCCAGCAGCCGCGGUAAUACGUAGGCAGCAAGCGUUGUUCGGAGUUACUGGGCGUAAAGGGUGUGUAGGCGGUUGUUUAAGUUUGGUGUGAAAUCUCCCGGCUCAACUGGGAGGGUGCGCCGAAUACUGAAUGACUCGAGUGCGGGAGAGGAGAGUGGAAUUCCUGGUGUAGCGGUGAAAUGCGUAGAUAUCAGGAGGAACACCGGUGGUGUAGACGGCUCUCUGGACCGUAACUGACGCUGAGACACGAAAGCGUGGGUAGCAAACAGGAUUAGAUACCCUGGUAGUCCACGCCCUAAACGAUGCAUAUUUGGUGUGGGCAGUUCAUUCUGUCCGUGCCGGAGCUAACGCGUUAAAUAUGCCGCCUGGGGAGUACAGUCGCAAGGCUGAAACUCAAAGGAAUUGACGGGGGCCC